This is a non-coding RNA of Podarcis lilfordi (Lilford's wall lizard), 74 nucleotides long. Lineage: Eukaryota; Metazoa; Chordata; Lepidosauria; Squamata; Lacertidae. The record is from the annotation of a GenBank genome assembly.
UAGGAUAGCUCAGCUGGUAGAGCAUGAGACUCUUAAUUUCAGGAUCACGGGUUUGAGGCUCACAUUGGGCAAAA